GAUGAACGCUAGCGGCAGGCCUAACACAUGCAAGUCGAGGGGUAACAGGUGUAGCAAUACAUGCUGACGACCGGCGCACGGGUGAGUAACGCGUAUGCAACCUACCCUUAACUGGGGGAUAGCCCGGAGAAAUUCGGAUUAACAUCCCAUAAAACUGCAGUAUCGCAUGGUACAGCAGUAAAAAUUCCGAUGGUUAAGGAUGGGCAUGCGUGACAUUAGUUAGUUGGUGAGGUAACGGCUCACCAAGACUACGAUGUCUAGGGGGCCUGAGAGGGUAGUCCCCCACACUGGUACUGAGACACGGACCAGACUCCUACGGGAGGCUG
This 326-nucleotide ribosomal RNA is filed under the name uncultured Bacteroidota bacterium. RNAcentral's name for it is "bacterial SSU rRNA". It matches the Rfam family "Bacterial small subunit ribosomal RNA", at positions 28 to 351 of the family's 1533-position model. Lineage: Bacteria; Pseudomonadati; Bacteroidota. The record is from RNAcentral.